UGAGGAAUCUUGGACAAUGGGCGAAAGCCUGAUCCAGCCAUGCCGCGUGAAUGAUGAAGGCCUUAGGGUUGUAAAAUUCUUUCAGUAGGGAAGAUAAUGACGGUACCUACAAAAGAAGCCCCGGCUAACUCCGUGCCAGCAGCCGCGGUAAUACGGAGGGGGCUAGCGUUGUUCGGAAUUACUGGGCGUAAAGCGCUCGUAGGCGGAUUGGUCAGUCAGAGGUGAAAGCCCAGGGCUCAACCUUGGAAUUGCCUUUGAUACUGCCAGUCUUGAGUUCGGGAGAGGUGAGCGGAAUUCCGAGUGUAGAGGUGAAAUUCGUAGAUAUUCGGAGGAACACCAGAGGCGAAGGCGGCUCACUGGACCGAUACUGACGCUGAGGAGCGAAAGCGUGGGGAGCAAACAGG
Molecule: ribosomal RNA, 404 nt
Filed under: uncultured bacterium
Lineage: Bacteria
Description: bacterial SSU rRNA
Rfam family: Bacterial small subunit ribosomal RNA
Source: RNAcentral